Molecule: ribosomal RNA, 225 nt
Filed under: uncultured Rhizobium sp.
Lineage: Bacteria; Pseudomonadati; Pseudomonadota; Alphaproteobacteria; Hyphomicrobiales; Rhizobiaceae
Description: partial 16S ribosomal RNA
Rfam family: Bacterial small subunit ribosomal RNA
Source: RNAcentral
CACGUAGGCGGGCAUUUAAGUCAGGGGUGAAAUCCCAGAGCUCAACUCUGGAACUGCCUUUGAUACUGGGUGUCUUGAGUAUGGAAGAGGUGAGUGGAAUUCCGAGUGUAGAGGUGAAAUUCGUAGAUAUUCGGAGGAACACCAGUGGCGAAGGCGGCUCACUGGUCCAUUACUGACGCUGAGGUGCGAAAGCGUGGGGAGCAAACAGGAUUAGAUACCCUAGUA